RNAcentral lists this long non-coding RNA (262 nucleotides) under Erythranthe guttata (spotted monkey flower). RNAcentral describes it as "long non-coding RNA (EGUT_LNC002705)". Lineage: Eukaryota; Viridiplantae; Streptophyta; Magnoliopsida; Lamiales; Phrymaceae. The record is from RNAcentral.
UAGUCGCGGUGUAUAUGUGACAAUUGCCAUUCUAAAUUAUCUGAUGAUAUAUGCUUGACCUAUUCCGAUUGUUACAGGGGCAAAAGCGUCACAAGCCACAAGUGAUGACCGAAGCUCGACAUCAAUUGCGAGAGCAUCUUGAUAAAGCGUUAUUUUUGUUUCCUCGUUCCUUGUCGCCAUGGAAAAUAACUAUGUUUUACUCAAAAUUUUCUGAGAUGCCACUUAGGUAGUUGGGAUUUUUGUGGCAAGGAGUAUUGUAAAC